Molecule: ribosomal RNA, 90 nt
Filed under: Clostridiales bacterium
Lineage: Bacteria; Bacillati; Bacillota; Clostridia; Eubacteriales
Source: RNAcentral
CCCGUUCCCAUUCCGAACACGGUAGUUAAGCUCGCGAGUGCUGAAAAUACUUGGCUGGCAACGGCCCGGGAAGAUAAGUCGAUGCCGACA